CACGUAGGCGGCUUGGUCAGUCCGAUGUGAAAGCCCCCGGCUCAACCGGGGAAUGGCAUCGGAUACUGCCUGGCUCGAGGACGGUUGGGGUGAGUGGAACUCCUGGUGGAGCGGUGAAAUGCGUAGAUAUCAGGAGGAACACCAGUGGCGAAAGCGACUCACUGGACCGUCUCUGACGCUGAGGUGCGAAAGCUAGGGGAGCGAACG
RNAcentral lists this ribosomal RNA (207 nucleotides) under uncultured bacterium. RNAcentral describes it as "partial 16S ribosomal RNA". It matches the Rfam family "Bacterial small subunit ribosomal RNA", at positions 568 to 774 of the family's 1533-position model. The record is from RNAcentral.